AAGGUGGUUCAGGCAAUCGCGUGGCUCAGGCCGCGAGGAAGGUCCGGACUCCACAGGGCAGGAUGACGGCUAACGGCCGUCCGGAUAGCGCAGCCGCCUGGCGGUUGCGGGAAACCGAGGAACAGGGCCACAGAGACGAGACUGCCAGGCGGGCGGCCGAAAGGUCGCACCGAUACGGCCAUCUCCGUAUGGCGCACGGUCAUUCGUGCAGCCUGGCAGGGUGAAACGCGGUAACCUCCAUCCGGAGCAACAUCAAAUAGGCAUACGUACGGCAUUCGUGCCGGAAAGGGCGGCCCGUCCGAGUAUGCGGGUAGAUGGCUAGAGCGCUUCAGCAAUGAUGCGCCCAGAUGAAUGAUUGCCGGCACAACGCGUGAAAACACCGGGGUGUCUACAGAAUCCGGCCUAUCG
This 408-nucleotide RNase P RNA is filed under the name Pseudomonas sp. RNAcentral describes it as "partial RNase P RNA component class A". It matches the Rfam family "Bacterial RNase P class A". From Rfam's summary of the family: Ribonuclease P (RNase P) is a ubiquitous endoribonuclease, found in archaea, bacteria and eukarya as well as chloroplasts and mitochondria. Lineage: Bacteria; Pseudomonadati; Pseudomonadota; Gammaproteobacteria; Pseudomonadales; Pseudomonadaceae. The record is from RNAcentral.